GAGGCUAUAGUUCAGUGGCAGAACACUUGCCUAGCAUGCAUGAGGCACUGGGUUUGAUCCUCAGCACCACA
Molecule: transfer RNA, 71 nt
Filed under: Marmota monax (woodchuck)
Lineage: Eukaryota; Metazoa; Chordata; Mammalia; Rodentia; Sciuridae
Description: tRNA.Ala
Rfam family: tRNA (bases 8-64)
About the family: Transfer RNA (tRNA) molecules are approximately 80 nucleotides in length. Their secondary structure includes four short double-helical elements and three loops (D, anti-codon, and T loops).
Source: RNAcentral